Molecule: ribosomal RNA, 502 nt
Filed under: uncultured bacterium
Lineage: Bacteria
Description: partial 16S ribosomal RNA
Rfam family: Bacterial small subunit ribosomal RNA
Source: RNAcentral
GACGAACGCUGGCGGCGUGCUUAACACAUGCAAGUCGAACGGUGAAGGGGUCUGCUUUUGUGGGCCCUGGAUGAGUGGCGCACGGGUGAGUAACACGUGAGUAACCUGCCCCCUUCUUCUGGAUAACCGCAUGAAAGUGUGGCUAAUACGGGAUAUUCUGGGUCUGUCGCAUGAUGGGUCUGGGAAAGAUUGCGCCUUUGGGUGUUUUUGGUGGGGGAUGGGCUCGCGGCCUAUCAGCUUGGUGGUGGGGUGAUGGCCUACCAAGGCGGUGACGGGUAGCCGGCCUGAGAGGGUGGACGGUCACACUGGGACUGCGACACGGCCCAGACUCCUACGGGAGGCAGCAGUGGGGAAUAUUGCACAAUGGGCGCAAGCCUGAUGCAGCGACGCCGCGUGAGGGAUGGAGGCCUUCGGGUUGUAAACCUCUUUCGCCAGUGAAGCAGGCCUGCUCCUUGUGGGUGGGUUGACGGUAGCUGGAUAAGAAGCGCCGGCUAACUACGUG